UUUUUUAAAGCCCUAAAAAUAAAGGUUCCAAAUGGGGGUUUUCAUAGUGAUGCAACAGAAGAACCAUUUUUGGUUCCCCAAAUAACCUUUCAGUGACCAGUUCUUCAAGGAACCAUGUUUUUCUUAGUAUGAAGACCAUUUAAGUAAUAUAAACAACACCUUUCAUUACGAAUAACCUUUUGUGGAAUUGAAAGUUUCCAUGGAUGUUGAAGGUUCUUCUUGGAACCAUCAAUGCCAAUAAAGAACCCUUAUUUUUAAGAGUGUAAAAUUGUAACCAUUUCUUCAAAAAACAUAUGUUUUUGUACAGCCCUACCUUAAAAGAAUGAUCCAGGCUGUUACACAGCACCUGCCACGGAGGAGUGUACCUGAACAUGGUGUUUGCUGCAGUACUAGAGUUUGACAGGAAAACGCUAGCAUGCAGUUAACUUAAAUCAAUCUUAAUGAGUCCUGGAGAGUGAACAGAAGAGAAAAAUUAUUUUUAUGUAUCAUAACCUAACAAGAAUCACCAUACACUAGUAUGUGUCAGAUAUUACAAAAUAAUGUAUUAUAAAAAAAUACUUUUAAGUGUAAAAGCAAUCAAAGUAAAUAUAUAUAUAUAUGUAAUGUAAUAUGUGAUACAAUUUGUUUGAUUUUACUCUCAUUCUUCCUCAUUCAGAAUGACUCACCUCAUCUUUUGCAGGCUAAUGGAUCCAGCGAGACCAUUGUGUGUAAUGGCACUGAAACAUUCAGUGAAAGCAGGGCCACCCUACCCCAUCAGUACUGCUGCAGGUGUCAGUCUAGUAUUUAGUCAGUCUUCAUCCACUACCCAAAAAACUUGUUUUGGCUCAGUUGCUCUGGUAAAGCUCCUCCUCCAAUAUGGCUCCAAUAUGGUCAAAACAAGAGGUAUCACCUUAAGCCAAAAUUCCCAAAAUGUGUGUGGGGUGACCUGGCCCAUGGUCAAAGAUUCAGUGCAUGCAUGCGUGUGUGUGUGUGUCUGUGUGCUGAUGACUGUGAUACCAGUCUGGAAUGCUGCUACAAUCAGCAACCUUAGGACAAAAGCUGAGAAUACCCCCUACCAUCCCAUAAUGCACCUCAUAGUUGCUCUGAAGCCUGGUCAUUUAAUCAUUGACAAUGGCAUUGACAGUACCGCAGUGGCUCUUAGAUUAGUUCUGAAUGGCAGCAGUGGUGUCCCUCAGGUCUCACUACUAGGCCCGCAACCAGUUUGUAUUAUUAUUAUUAUUAUUAUUAUUAUUAUUAUUAUUUUCAUUUAA
Molecule: long non-coding RNA, 1250 nt
Organism: Cyprinus carpio (common carp)
Lineage: Eukaryota; Metazoa; Chordata; Actinopteri; Cypriniformes; Cyprinidae
Source: Ensembl